CAGCUCGAUUUGUUCAACUGUCUAGGUUUGCCCCUUUAAUGGUCACCCCCGAAAGCCAAAAAGUUCGGAAGUUUUUUAAAGGCCUUUGUGCAGACAUUUAUGACCAGGUCGUGAUACUGAGACCCAACUCGUAUGCAGGGGUGUUUGAACAUGCCCAGUUGGUGAAAGAUCUUAUCUCAGCUAAGCACCAAUGCUUUGCCUGAGUUCGUGCCCAACAACAACCCCAACAGCUUACAAAAAGAUUAUCUGACCCAGUAAGUGACCCUCUAAAUAAAUGAACCAGAAUUUCCUUUCUUCCCACCUUGUCCCCACCUACAGCUCCACUUGUCUGAUCUAACUAACCUUGUCAACAUUGUGGUCGCUCGCAUGGUGACUUAUCUUGUCGGCGUAUCGAUAACACCUACUAUCAGUGCAGAAGCACCCAACAUCUUAUAAAAGACUACCCUCAGCAACCGAAGGAUGUAGCCCGAUCCAUAACACAGGGUCGAGUGUACCACUUAGAUGAAUCUGAUGUUCUUCCUACUCCUGUUCUCAUCUAAGGUAUGUUU
Molecule: long non-coding RNA, 548 nt
Filed under: Carica papaya (papaya)
Lineage: Eukaryota; Viridiplantae; Streptophyta; Magnoliopsida; Brassicales; Caricaceae
Description: long non-coding RNA (CPAP_LNC008976)
Source: RNAcentral